AUUGAACGCUGGCGGCAUGCCUUACACAUGCAAGUCGAACGGCAGCACGGGAGCAAUCCUGGUGGCGAGUGGCGAACGGGUGAGUAAUAUAUCGGAACGUGCCCAGUCCUGGGGGAUAACGUAGCGAAAGCUACGCUAAUACCGCAUACGAUCUAUGGAUGAAAGCGGGGGAUCGCAAGACCUCGCGCGAUUGGAGCGGCCGAUAUCAGAUUAGGUAGUUGGUGAGGUAAAGGCUCACCAAGCCGACGAUCUGUAGCUGGUCUGAGAGGACGACCAGCCACACUGGGACUGAGACACGGCCCAGACUCCUACGGAGGCAGCAGUGGGGGAAUUUUUGGGACAAUGGGCGCAAGCCUGAUCCAGCAAUGCCGCGUGCAGGAUGAAGGCCUCGGUGUAACU
Molecule: ribosomal RNA, 399 nt
Filed under: uncultured bacterium
Lineage: Bacteria
Description: bacterial SSU rRNA
Rfam family: Bacterial small subunit ribosomal RNA
Source: RNAcentral